Molecule: long non-coding RNA, 5875 nt
Filed under: Podarcis lilfordi (Lilford's wall lizard)
Lineage: Eukaryota; Metazoa; Chordata; Lepidosauria; Squamata; Lacertidae
Source: RNAcentral
CUCUUUCGCUGCGUGCUUCGGAUCACCAGAAGCACCUGGACCGUGAAGUGAUCUUCUCAUUCUCUGGUUAUAUUUCUUUACUUCCCCCCUUCUUUUUAAUCCUCUCUAGUCCCUUAAUUAAUUUAAUUCCACCCCUUUUCUUUUCCUCUUUGAUUUCCCACCCCACCCCUUACCCUGCCCUUUGAGAAGAUUCUCCCUGUACCUGUGAGAGCUGCCUGUGCAUAAUCCUCCUUGGCUUGCCUUUCCCAAUGGGGAGAGAGUCCCCAUUAGGGGCUUUCUUUUGCAGAAAGGUUUCCCUCAUUUUGCCUGUUUGUUAAUUGUGGGGCUGGUCAGGCUGUUCCCAGCUUAGCUGGAAUCACUUUCGUUUAUAGUAUCCCCAAAGGUGGCUUUAUUUUGGGUGUGUGCAGCGCUGUUGGCCGAAUUUUGAUCUAGCCUUGGGCAGGAGCACCAUUUUGAGCUUCCUUUAAUAUUGCAAUGAAUCAAAGAUUCUUAAGAGCAGAAGCAGUGAGGUCUGCAUUUAAGCCUAGGCCUGCUGCAGUUAGCAGGAAACAUGUGACUCAUUCCCUCUCUAAGAAUGUAUCUUUUGCUUGCAGGCUCAGUUGCUAUUGUAUAUUUGGGGCAGACAGAGUGGAGCCAGGGUCUCUGUGCCUCCAAUGACUAGGAGCACUCUGUAUAUGCUCUGGAACUAUGCUGUUUCUGAACAAGUUUAUUUUCUUUAAGUUUGUUUUGCCCUGAUAUUGGCGACUGCCAUUUUAGAGAUGAGCCAUUGUGGCUUAGUGGCUAGAGUGCAGGGCUGGGUCCUGGGAGACAGGGUUCAUAUCCCCCUCUUAGCCAUUGUUAUAACAAAACAAAACAAACUGCUCCUUUUCGGCUAUUCUGUUGCUGGGUAGUUGGGCCCAUUUGUGAUAAAAGAACUUUGGGUUUCUUGAAGGGGUGCUUCCCUCUAAAAGGGCAAGCAGGGGUACCUGGACAAGCUGUGGGCUACCUCAACUCUGCUAUUUCACUGGAAACAUUUAUGCCUGGCCUAGCAGGUGAUCCUAGGGCUUUGCCCUAGAAUUCGAUGGCCUGGAAGCGUUUCCGGCCUGAAUAGUGUCCCCAUGUGGUGCAUGAAGCAUUGGUUUCACUGGUUCCUUACAUUGUUUAGUUUUUGCAGACUAUGACAGAGCUUUUGCAGAUGCCUCAAGAGCUUGCCUCUCCUGCAGAGGAUGACUUGCGGACGCCCCAGGUGCCUUCUUCCAGAAGGAAGCGUCUUCGGAGGCGGCAUUCCAGGAGGAGGGCAAAGAGGAGCAGGGAUGAUAAUUCAGACAUCACCUUGGACCUCUCCAGGGGUUAGGGUGAGGCUGUCCUGGGUCUUUAGGGAUCAUCCUGGAUAGCUCAGCUGCUCAGCACAUAGUGCCAGUAAUGCCUAGGUUGCAGGAUUGGUCCCUGUAUGGGACAGCUACAUGCCCCCCAUUGCUCUACCUGGACACUUAGGUCCAGUGUCGAGGGCCUUUUGGUGGUUCCCUCACUGCGACGGAUGUAACGGGCGCCACGUUUGCAAUAUGCAAGUGGGAGAAAGCACCUUUGCGUGCCCGCAUUGCAGUUUGCUCUGUGCGUUGCAGGGCACGGCGCUGCAUGGGCUGCAAUUGCAUUGCAUUGCAUUGCAUUGCGUGAGAGAUUGCAUUUGCAUUGCACGGAGGGUGUAGUUGCAUUGCACGGAGGGUGUUGUUGCAUUGCAUGGAAGGUGUGGUUGCAUUGCACGGAGUGUGUGUGUGUGUGUGUGCAUUGCACGGAGUGUGUGUGCAUUGCACGGAGGGUGUCUGCAGUGCAUGGAGUGUGUAGUUGCAUUGCACGGAGGGUGUGUCUGAAAAGGAAGCUGGCUAGGCGGCAGCUUUGUCGGGACUUCUUUAGGGGUUCUGGCCAGCGUCGGCCCUGUAAAUUUACAUAUCAUGAUGGCAGCACAAGAUGCCCCCUGCCCAAGCGGGGGCUGGAAGCUGGCAAGCAAUAGCGCAAUACCUUUUGCCCAUAUUCCCAUUUUAUUUAGGGAUCCAGAUGGAUAUCGUUGCUAAAACAUACCACUUGCCUAGGGAGAAGCUGUCUGCCUUGAAGGAAGUUACUUUGUAAUACUUCCUCUGUAGCAAGUGAUGCUUCAUCAGAUCCGAUCUUGCUGGGUCACUUAAUUAAUCUUGCAUGCAGAGUGGUCGCCCCAGGCCACCCCUUCCAUUCCCGCUAGGCCAGGCUGCCUGCGGCCUGAGGUCCCCUUACCUUCGUGUACGCUUACCAAGUGAGGUGAUAGGCAGAUCUCAUGCGAUGGUUGCAAUUCCAAAAUGAAUGCAAUAGUAGUUCGCCAUGGCAGGAUACCUUGUUCAUGCUGAUGCUGCUGGAUCUUUGCCCUUUGGUUUUUUAUUUCAGGGGCUGCUGGUGUGCAUAGCCAUGGCCUCCAGCCCGGUGUGGUGAAGCAGUCAUGUGACCUAACUUUUCUUGAGUUUUCCCCAUUGUAGUAGCAGUUCACAUGUGGCCCGAGGAGUUCAGUGACCAUCGGAUCUGCUUUUGGUCUGAUAACCAGGCAGUGGUGAGUGUCUUGGCAAAGCAGUCCUCCCGCUCCAGCAGAGUCUCCGCCCCUCCGCUCACGCUUCGAGCUGCGCUGCUUAAGGUUUAAUGCUGUGCUUUCUGCUCUCCUGAUUACGGGAUCCUCUAAUGAUGUUGCUGACACUCUAUCCCAUUUUCAGAUGGAGCGCUUCAGAUCCUGGGCUCCAGACACUCAGCUACUGCCAGACUUUCCAGACCACCUGUGGCACUUUGACAACAAUUAGUUGUCAAUUACAGAGAGCAGCAGCUUCCAUUUCCCCUUCUGCUUUUAGCUCUUAUGAGAAGGCCUGGAUGGAUUUCUUAGCCUUAAGCUGGCAGUCCUCGGGCAUUCAGAAGAACUGGCCCCCAUCCUCUAGCAGAUCCUGCAAUAUUUGGUCCACCAGCUGCAGAUUGUAUGUGCUGUUAAAACUAUCAGUAUUCAGUCCGCUGCAGUGUCUGUUAUAGUAAAGCUUUAAUUUGCAGAGACCCUUGUAUAAAGUCUGUCGUGCGCAGGGCCUUGGAAGGUUGGAAUAGGCUCCAACCUCAUACGACAGUGGGCAGGAAGUCGGUCAAUUUUUACCUAUGCAGUAUCUGCAACAAGUUAUAACUUGUCUGCUGGUUAAAGAUCAAGGCGAGACUCCUUUCAGUAUUCCAUUGCAUUUUUGGUGCACUGAGGGUUGGGGAAAUUGUGUUGGAGCCAGCACGGGGCUGAGAGUCUGGAGGCUUAUUGCUUCAGGACUUUUCCUUAUCUGCUUUGGAGCUGGUCAUUAGAGUUGGGAACUCUAAAACAGACCUAGUGGGCAGGAGUGCCACCAUCAGGCUUCCCCUCACAGGUGAGGAGGGCCCUUGCCCGGUUAUGGAUACCAGAAAUAUUUGGCUUUUCGUUCCCCUGGGGGCUGGCCCGCGGCCUGCUCCUAGUGCAUGGAAAUGGGUUCCUGUUGCCAGGCAUCAAUGUGCUUACAUCAUGCACCAGUUAUUACGGCCUGCGGCUUGCUUACCGCUGAACACGCCGCAUUCCUUCCGAAUAGGGCUGCUGCAAAGGCUGCACACUGGGGGCCUGUCAGUAGACAUGAUUGUGAAUACGGGACAUUGGAAGUCUGAUGCUGACAAGGGUUACAUCAGGAAGUGUCAACAAUGAUGUCUCUGCUGAUGCCUGUCUGUUAUUUCCUUUUUUCAUAGGAGCAGCUGUGCACAUUUGGAUUGUCGCUCGAGCAGGCCAGAAAGCAUGUUAAUAAGGCGGUGGAAAAUAAAAUAAAAAUAAAUAAAUAAAUAAAAAAUAAAGCAUUGUACACUGGGCUGGCAAGCGCGCUGACGAGUCUGGACUGGGGCGCCAUCUCAGUCUUCCUGCCCAUGUGAACAUAUACUGGGUGUCCAGAUGGGGAAUGCUUUGGGAGGAGUUCCUUCCUUUGGUGCGGUCGAGUGUGACCUGUGCAGGUCCUCCCGCAGUGCUAGUGGGGCAGCUGGACGAGAAUGACUUGCCGUCUUCCUCCAGCAUAAGUUUGCGUUCCUGCAUGCAGGAGGACUUGGAUGAGUUGAUGGCAGCUCUCCCUGGACUCAAAAUAAUUUAAGGCAUUGGUUCAAGGUGGUCUGGAGGGGGGGUCGGAGCACCUGUCCCCUCCAAUGCGCAAAGAUAUUCCAUUAAGGGAAUCCAAGGAUUCGCCAUGCUUUUGUCGACCCCUUUCGAGGGGCAGGGCCACGCAAGGGUCCCUGGAGCAUUUGGGGUGCGCUUGAGUCUGAUCCUGGUUCAUUGCUCCCCCACGAUGUUUGCUUGUACUGACGAUAUGGUGGGGCCCAGUCAUCAGUGCUGCCCUGCUGAGGUCAGGUGCAGAUAGUCGGAAACAAUGCCUAGACAAACUACCACCGAGCAGGCCAGAAAGCAUGUUAAUAAGGCGGUGGAAAAUAAAAUAAAAUAAAAAAUUAAUUAAUUAAUUAAAUUAAAAAAUAAAAUAAAAUUUUAAAAAGUUCGGGUUUGGAUUGUAGGCCACAGCGUUGUCCACUGGGCCGGCAUCAGAGCUCGGGAGUCUUGAUUCGGAGCAGCACUUGGCCUUCCCCAUCAUGUGCAGGUGUCUUGGCUGUCCAGACGUGGAAUGCUGUGGGCCGAAUUGCUUCCAAUGAUACAAAAGCAGUUGAGUCUUAUGGGGCCCCCUUCUGUUAUUGUGUUCCAGCUGGGGGAGAAUGAUUUGCCUGCCACCGACUGCUGUGACUUGCGUAACGCAGUACGGAAGGACCUGGAGAAACUGGCUGCUAUGUUGCCAGAUGCAAAAAUAAUUUGGUCGCAGUUGCUGCAACGCCGCUUCUGGCGUGGCAGUCGCAGUCCGGCUGCCACCGAGCAGGCCAGGAAGCGCGUUAACAAGGUGGCGGUAAAGAAGGUCCUCGCCUUAGGCGGUUCUGUGAUCAUGCACCCUGCUAUUUCCUUCAAGGCUGUUGCCCUCUUUAGGGCAGAUGGGGUACAUCUUUCCCCUGUAGGGAACGACACCUGGUUGGCUGCGGUCGCUUUGGGUUUGAAGGAAGGGUUGCAUUUGUGAGUGGUUUGGCGGUGAGCUUCAGUGCUCAGUUGGCGGUUAGGCAUUGGUCUGGAAUUGGUUGCUGGGGGGGUAUGGAUUCAGCUGUGCCUGCCCCCCAAAAUGCUGCUGCUGGUGGAGGGGUAUGGAUUCGGCUGUGCCUGCCCCUCCAAAAUGCUGCUGCUGCUGAAGGGUUUUACCGUUAAAUGAACCCAGGGGCUCCCCCAUGCUUUUGUCUGAAACCCCCUGGCAAGGGGCUAGGGCCACGCAAGCCCCUGGGAGCAUGCUGGGGAGAGGUGAGGCAUGGUUCCCAGUGCCGUCUCUCUCCCCAGGUGAACUGGCAGAUGUGAUCUCAGAACCACUGGCAGUCAUCUUUGAGAAUUCCUGGAGAACAGGCGAAGUCCCGGCAGACUGGAGGAGGGCAAAUGUCCCUAUUUUCAAAAAGGGGAAAAGAGAGGACCCAAAUAAUUACCGCCCAGUCAGUCUGACAUCAAUACCAGGGAAGAUUCUGGAGCAGAUCAUUAAGCAAACAGUCUAUGAGCACCUAGAAAGGAAUGCUGUGAUCACCAAUAGUCAGCAUGGAUUUCUGAAAAUAAGUCAUGUCAGACUAACCUGAUCUCGUUUUUUGACAGAAUUACAAGCCUGGUAGAUGAAGGGAACGCAGUGGAUGUAGCCUACCUUGAUUUCAGCAAGGCAUUUGACAAGGUGCCCCAUGAUAUUCUUGUAAAGAAGCUGGUAAAAUGCGGUCUUGACUAUGCUACCACUCAGUGGAUUUGUAACUGGCUGACUGACCGAACCCAAAGGGUGCUCAUCAAUGGUUCCUCUUC